GAGGGGGGCUGCUCCUAGUACGAGAGGACCGGAGUGGACGCAUCUCUGGUGUACCGGUUGUGACGCCAGUCGCAUCGCCGGGUAGCUAUAUGCGGAAGAGAUAAACGCUGAAAGCAUCUAAGCGUGAAACUCGCCUCAAGAUGAGACUUUCCUGGAGACUUGAUCUCCCUGAAGGGCCGUGGAAGACCACCACGUUGAUAGGUCGGGUGUGGAAGCGCAGUAAUGCGUUAAGCUAACCGAUACUAAUUACCCGUGAGGCUUGAUCCU
This 267-nucleotide ribosomal RNA is filed under the name Laribacter hongkongensis. RNAcentral's name for it is "partial 23S ribosomal RNA". It matches the Rfam family "Bacterial large subunit ribosomal RNA", at positions 2664 to 2925 of the family's 2925-position model. Lineage: Bacteria; Pseudomonadati; Pseudomonadota; Betaproteobacteria; Neisseriales; Aquaspirillaceae. The record is from RNAcentral.